RNAcentral lists this unclassified non-coding RNA (246 nucleotides) under uncultured Xylariales. RNAcentral's name for it is "sequence contains 5.8S rRNA gene, ITS2, 28S rRNA gene". Lineage: Eukaryota; Fungi; Ascomycota; Sordariomycetes; Xylariales. The record is from RNAcentral.
AACGCACAUUGCGCCCAUUAGUAUUCUAGUGGGCAUGCCUGUUCGAGCGUCAUUUCAACCCUUAAGCCUAGCUUAGUAUUGGGAAUCGACUUUACUGUCGUUCCUCAAAUUCAACGGCGGAUUUAUAGCAAUCUCUGAACGUAGUAAUUUUUUUUCUCGUUUUUGAAAUACUAUAAACCUCAGCCGCUAAACCCCCAAUUUCUUAUGGUUGACCUCGGAUCAGGUAGGAAUACCCGCUGAACUUAA